GGAGUCGUGCCUGAAACAAAGGACCACUUUGAUGUAGUGUAUUAUGAGGGUUAAAGUCCCUCCGACUCCU
RNAcentral lists this transfer RNA (70 nucleotides) under Channa maculata (blotched snakehead). Its description in RNAcentral is "tRNA-Ile". It matches the Rfam family "tRNA". Rfam says of the family: Transfer RNA (tRNA) molecules are approximately 80 nucleotides in length. Their secondary structure includes four short double-helical elements and three loops (D, anti-codon, and T loops). The record is from RNAcentral. Lineage: Eukaryota; Metazoa; Chordata; Actinopteri; Anabantiformes; Channidae. RNAcentral also lists the same sequence under 2 other names.